CUUCAGCUAAAAUAAGAAUAUAAAUGUCAUCAUCUGCAUUUUCCCCCUCAAUUCAAUAUCCAGAGGGAAUAGGAUUUUCAAAUUAAAAUAAUCAUCAGGUGCCCCAGAAGUGCCGUCACAGCCAGUCCUACAAAGUGUGGCACGGCAUGGGAAGAUAAUAAGAAAUGUCAGUUAGCUGGAGAGAAUGUCUAACAAGGCAAAGCAAAUUUAGAGAAAAUUCUACAUGGACAAUAGUAUUCUCAGAGAGUGAAGAGAACUUCUUCCAAUAUGAAGAAGGGAUCAGGCAGAGGAGUUUGUGAGACUUCCAGACAUGAAGAGCUGUCUGAAGAUGACAAUUACAUGGAACCCUUUAUAGGGAAGAAAAUGGGAAGCAAAGCGGGACUCGUGAGAAAUGAUCAGAAAAGAUAACAAGAAUCAUUAAGUUGACUGACGGGGAGGGAGGCAAAAUGGUAAAGACGGAGAAGUGUGAAGGCAGAGGGGAGAAGCGGAAGGGAAAGCAAGGGUCUGGAGGGAAUGUGGGCUCCCCAGGGCCAGGUCAGAGUUAAUGAUGGGACAGGGGAGCAGCCUGAGGCUGUCACUACUUAUCAGAUGGAAGUCUGUAACCUUCUGAGCUGAGUUCCCAUAGAGGAACUCUCUCUCCUCUGAGCCAGACUCAGAAGUGGCCAUUCUGGGAAAUCGGCAAAGGACAGCCUCUUGGGGGUCUUCACUGUGGUAAGGACUGGGGUCCAGUUGUGAAGGGUGGUGGCUUCCACACUGUAGACCAGUGGUGCCAAGACAAGGACCAUCCUUGCCUCUCUCCUGGGCUGUGGGGGUCGGCAGCAGUCCAGAGGGUUCUCUGGCUGGGAGGUCCCUUGUUCUGAUCUCUGCCUUCACAUUAUAAGGACACCAGUCACCAGCCCUGGGGCCCUCCCAGAUCCUGUACAACCUCAUCUUCACUUGCUUAUACCCACAGAGUGUCUUUCAAAAUCAGACCACACUCAUAGGUACCUACAGUUAGGGAUGCAGUAGAUCUUUCAGGGGGACACAAUUCAACCCACACCAUCAGUUACAUUGAAAAUCCUGUAAGUUUUACUUCCUAUACAAUUCUUUUCAUAAGAGUAAAUUAAGAACAGAAGACUCUGGCUUCAACAGGAUCAGGAACCAGUUAGAAUCCACAGUAAGGGACCAAGUGAGGAGAGGACUCCACAGGCACAUGUUUUGAGAAAACUGAGGUAGCAACACAGGACUUAAAUUUUAACUAAAUGACUAGGAAAAUGAUUGAACCACCGUGAGAUCAAGGAAAAAAAGGGUCAUCUGUGGUAAUGUGAAGUUUUGCUAAGGACAGAAUUCCCAUUACCAUUGUAACUGUGAGGUCUGUGCAGGAACACCAAGAAUAUAAAGGAGUGUGAGGAGGAACCUCCCAAAAUAAAGCAUCAGGCCCUGAGCCUCAAAGGAGUGGAGGCACGGUCUGCGACCAAGCAUCUCCCUGCCCGCCCGCCCUCCCUCCAGACGUGGACGUGCCUCCUCCACACGGUACAGAAUGAGGCAACAGCCGGUCAUUGAGACGAGCCCCUGCGCGAGGCACGCGUGGUCUGCUCUCGUCACAAGGGGAACGCAGGGGGCUGGUGCCACCCCAGAAGCUCCCACAGGUGAGGACUGCUACCCACGCGCCCGUGAGCUGGGAGGAGACAGGAGUCCCGCGUGAGACCUGACAGCCUUGACGAGUGCCUUUUGUGGGGGGCCCGGCCUGCACACCUUCUGCUGUACAUUGAACAUCCCCCAUCGCUGUGUCCACUUUGCCAGGGAGCCUACCAUUCUAAAACUUCAGGGUCUGCCGUCCACACAACUGAGUACUCAUGAGCUGGUCGAGUGCUUUACGGUGAUGCACUUGUACAUAGCAGAGGAGGGAGAAGCUAGUGCUAAAGGAGAAAUUAAGCUGAGAACAGAUACAAGGCCAGGGGGAAACGGGAAAGUAGAAAAGAGGAAGAGUUGUGGUGACAGGGAAAUAACGACCCCCCCCCCCCCCACCCAGACACAAAUACAAGUGACAUUAGACGUGAGGUAAAAAUGUUGGGAAUGUGCCACAUAGGAGCUGAUUCCAGAACGACCGACAAUAAGUGGGGCACCUGGGAGGGGGGCGCUCAGCCAGUUAAGCAUCUGACUCUUGAUCUUGGUGCGGGUCAUAGGAUCCAGCCCCAGGUCGGGCUCUGUGCUGGGCCUGGAGCCUGCUUGAAAUCGUCCCUCUCCCCGACUCUUACACGCUCUCUCACAUAAAAGUGAGCUACACUACCCAUGAAACUAAUGUAACAUUGCAUGUUAACUACGCUGGAGGUAAAAUUAAAAUAAAAAAUUUCAAAGGCAUGUAAAGUCAGGGGCACCUGGCUGGCUCAGUUGAUAGAGUAUGUGACUCUUAAUCUCAAGGUCAUGAGUUCAGAGCCUACUUAAAAUAAAAAUUCUAAAAUAAAGGCACAUAAAGCCAAACAGACCUUUGUUGAUUGACUGCUUAAUCAAUGACCCAUUAAUUAACUUGCCCAGGUCACACCGUUGGCAGACAGCAGAGCUGGAAUUCAGACCUCCACAUAUCCUUCUUCUUGUCUUUCUGGAAUGUUUUCCUCCUGUCCUGGAGCCUGGGGACAGAAUGCUUCUCUCAUCUGAAGGAUGCCAGGAAUGAAAGUAGGUUGUGGGCUGCAAGUGGCUCUCCCAGACCCUCAGUUCACAUCACUUUUAGGCCAUCGUGCUGUCUGGUCUUGACCCUGAUGGACAAUCCUAAGGCCUUGGCUGCUGGGGCAACCACACCACUGAGGCAGGCACAACUCCAGCCUGCUCAGUUGAGAGAGAGAAGGAUUCCAGUUUGGAGGCUAAGGCCUAAACCACUGCCCUUUAAUGAAGGCAGGGAUCACACCAUUCAAAUGCCGAUAUAUUGUACCACAAUGUGAAAACCUUGACCACUAUCUCCUCCUAACUGCUCUGCUGCCUCAGCAUCUAAGUUCAAGAUAACAGAAAAUUGGAUUCCUUGGGUAAUGCAAGAGGCAAUUUUGCAAAUCACCCUGAGCUAAGAGGCACCAGAAUACUACAAAAUCAGUUACUGCCUAAUGAGAUUCUGUGGUCAAGUUCUGUAUUUAAGGUUCACACCUGAAUACUGACAGUAAGAAGAGGUGUGUCUAAAAAUUCUCAGAGGAGGCACAGUUCCCUCUUUCAACCAUCUGACCAUCGUUUGGGUGCAUGGGAGGGAAGGAAGGGUGGAAUUUUCUGGUAAAGACAGCGAAGAACUAUGUGAGUAUGGGGGCUAUGUCAUCUGAUAAUGAGGCCAUAGAAUUGGCAGGCAGAGAACAGGACACAGGCAAAGAACUGAAGGCCACGAACCAGUCCUAUGUGGCCCCCAAAGGAAUGAAGAGACGAACUCAGCAGGAGCCAGAACACUCAUCAGCAUCAGCUAUUAACUGAGCUUCGACUAUACGCACAGCAGUGGGCCUGGAGCAAAGGAGGUACAAGCUAAGGAGUUUGCUCUCGGUGGGUUGGGUUUACAGACCAGAGGAAGAGAAUGCAGACAAACUGGGUUUGCUGGCAAAAGAAUGGGGUUAGACUGCUGGGAAGAUGGCACUCACCUCGUUUCUCAGACACAACUACCUAACACUCACCGUGAUGUAAAUGCCCCAGAAAGCAACCCGAAGGCUGGCAGAACAGAGCCACGACUCAGUGUAAAGAAGAGGACACAUCAAAGAAGGUAGAAAGGGCGAAGAUACAGUGAGGAGUUAAUACCCACAGGACUCUCCCCGGGGUGGGGGCAUCUGCAGGCACAGGGAGGGUAGACAGACAAUCACAGGGUUGCCCAUGUGGGAAGAUGAAGCCUCAUAACAUUUGGCUUUGAAAACCAGAGGGGCAGAAUUUCAAGAUUCUUACAACCAGCAGAACUUAAAAUCUGGAAUUUUAAAAAUCACCGGGCUUGGGGCACUUAAGUGGCUCAAUCGGUUGGUUCAUCAUCCAACUUCAGCUUGGGUCAUGAUCUCAUGGUUUGUGGGUUCAAGUCCUGCGUCAAGCUCUCUGCUGUCAGUGCUGAGCCGGUUUCUGAUCCUCUGUCUCCAUCUCUCUCUCUCUGCUCCUGCCCCACUCGUAUCCCUGCCUUCUCUCUUUCAGAAAUAAACAUUUAAGAAAAAAAUCACCAGACUCCGCUCUGGGACAGAAUGGAGGCCAAGAGAAAACUAAGUCCCUGCCCUUAAAGAGACGACACAACAGCCCAUGGAGAUUCAGCAUAGAAACGAAUAUUCCACCUUAAAUGCAGGGGAGGUAGACUGUUUACAAAGUCUCCUGUCCUCUAAAACUUCGUACGAUGAGAUUCCGUCACUUCUGUCAUCAACAGGUGGAGUCUACUUGUCCUUCCCUUGAAUCUAUGCUGGCCUGUGACUUGCUCUGGCCAAGAGAAUACGGGAAUAAUCGUUCUGCAAGAGGAAGUGCUUACAGCUCUUGGCACACGGCCACGAGACUGCCAUGCAUAGGGCAUGUGGAUUGGAACCCAGGUGCCCCCAACUAAAGCCCAGCGGGGCCUUGUUCCCAGCUGAUUCACCACCUGAGUGCAACCACAGUUCUAUUCCAGGAACACUCAAAUCUCUGGCUGACUCCACCUGCCUUUUACAUUCCAGACUCACGUCUUGAAAUGACAGUAGGAUGCCUCCAGCUUCCAGCCUCUCCUGGGUCGUAAUUCCAGCACAUCCCAAACUGAAAUCAAAGUGUCCUCAGAGCUGAACUCACUGUUUCCCCCAUAUUUCCAUUGGCAUCACCACCAUCCUCCAUGCAUUCUGGCUUAAAACCAGCCCCUGUACAAUAUUAUUCUGAGUCCAGUCAAUUCUUCCUCCAAAACGCCUCUAACAGCCAUUACUUCCCUUUUAUUCCCCUAUUACCAUUUACAUGGCAAUAAAAUUUGCAAUACAGUAA
Molecule: RNA transcript, 4908 nt
Organism: Neofelis nebulosa (Clouded leopard)
Lineage: Eukaryota; Metazoa; Chordata; Mammalia; Carnivora; Felidae
Gene name: nascent polypeptide-associated complex subunit alpha, muscle-specific form-like
Exons: 3
Source: RefSeq, a predicted model, not a curated record